AAAAAAUUAGUUAAACAAAUAACAUUAGCAUGUCAAACUAAAAUUAUCAAUGAAUUGAUAUUUUUUA
RNAcentral lists this transfer RNA (67 nucleotides) under Platypalpus longicornis. RNAcentral describes it as "tRNA-Asp". The record is from RNAcentral. Lineage: Eukaryota; Metazoa; Arthropoda; Insecta; Diptera; Hybotidae.